AAAGAUAUAUAACAAUUAUACUUACCCUCAAAUAUUAAGACUUAAAAGACUCUGAUAUUGACCUAGUAGGUGAAGAAAGAUAUGGUUUAGGUGGUAUUUCAAGUAAAUUCAUGUUAACUUCUAACAUUUCAAUCACUUUACUCAUUGUAGGUCUAUCACUUGGAAAUGUUUGAAUGCACCAUAAACCCACAAUUGUCAUUCUCCUUGCAAUCUCGUCUUCUUCUGUAUCCAUAACCCCAUCAGGUCUCAGAUUAGUGCCAAGCUCUAGCCUAUUGUAUACCCAAUGUGGAAAGUAUAUCUCACUAGUGUGACUUGCAUCAGCAAUAAUGUUUUUCCUCCCACCAACCAUUUCCAGCAACAUCAUUCCAUAACUAUAAACAUCAGAUUUGUGUGAAACUCCUCCAAAAUGUCUAUUCCACACUUCUGGAGCUACAUAUCCCAUUGUCCCUCUUUGAUCUGUCAUCGAAAUAAUGCUCUCUUUUUUUGGACAGAGUUUUGCAAGUCCAAAAUCUGAAAUUUUUGGACAUAAAUUCUCAUCUAAAAGAAUGUUAUGUGGUUUUAUGUCGAAAUGUAAAAUUCUUGUGGUACAUCCUCUAUGCAAGUACUCUAGUCCACGGGCUAUCCCUUUUGCAAUUUGAUACAAAUUAUCCCAACUCAAAGAUGUAAUUCUCUCUGGUCCCUUGUUGUAGAUAAAUUUGUCAAGAGAACCAUUUGACAUAAAUUCAUAUAUAAGUGCUUUUUUUUUGCCUUCAAAACAAAAUCCAAGAAGGGUGACAACAUUAACAUGUGAGGUUCUAGUAAUACUAGAAACUUCAUUAAUAAAUUCUUCACCGUUUCCUUUGGAUGAAUUCAAUAUCUUUAUAGCAACAUCACAACCAUUGAGUAACUUUCCUUUGUACACAACACCAAAACCCCCUUGACCAAGUUUAACCUUGAAAGAGUCUGUCAUUUUCUUUAGUUCUGAAUAUUUAUAUCUUUUCUGCAAUAGAGCUCCAUGAUCUUUUAAAAAUGCUUCAAUAUUUGUAUCAUUCUUAGUUCUAAAUUGAAAUUUUCCUUGCCAUAUUGAUAAUUUGCAUCCAAAAAAAUAGAGAAUGAAGUAGAUUAAGAAUACGCUCACAGCUGCACUUACACCACCUGAUAAAGAGAAUUGAUUAAUUAUGUGUUGAUGGAUGAAACUAAACUGAAUAAAUAAAUAAAUAUAUUUUCGUUUUCUUAUGUAGUUAUUUGGUGUGCAAUAACCUCCUUCUAAUGCUUAAUCAUAAUACACUUUUUUUUUUUUUGACAAAUAAUCAUAAUACUCUGAAAUAGUUGUACUAAGAAUCUUGGUUAGAAUAUUUACAAACAUUAAUGUCAUCGAAGACAUGUUAAAAUGUAAAUAAUCAUUUUAGGUUAAAAAAUUGAAGAUACGUGAUUUAAGAUUGAUUAUCUAGUAUUCUUUAUUUAUUUUUGUUUUAAAAUGUCUAUCAGAAACUCACACACAUUAAGUGUAAAGUGCAUAGUCGUAGUAUUAUAAUCCACCUCACUCUCUCAGCUAAUCAAAUCUCCCUGCAACUUUUUAUCCUCCUAUUAUACAUGCGGAAUUAACUACCUAGUACCUUGUUGUUAUUUCUUUGCAAAUGUAUUAGUUAAAGAUUGACAAUAAUGAUCAAAGUGAAGUUUGAUAUAUUACCUAUAAUGAGAUUCCCUUUCCAGUUAGAGUGACUGCUACCUGCAAGAAAUCAUAAGCAUAAAGAGCAAGAGGAGUUGGUAUAUAUGUUGCUUUAAUAAUAAUUUGAUAGACAAAUAGUCUCAUAGAUUACAAAAUUUAUGAUGAAGGAGGUAGAAUUUGAUAUUAUAACUCUCUUCAAACUGAGUUCAUUUCCUAUUUCCAUUUCCAUUAAAAACAGAAAAUGAUAUUGAAAAUAUGUUUGUUUAUAAUAUUGAAAACAUUUUCCUUAAAAACAUUUCUGCUAUAUGAACAUUCCUGAAAAUAUCCAUGUUAAAAGAGUUACCAACACAAAAAGUUUUUUUUAGGGACAAUUAUUUUAAGCUAUAUGAACAUUCCUUAAAAAAGGUUUAUUUUAUUUUAUUUUAUUUUAUUUUUACAAAAUUACAAGUUUUGAACAAAAUGUAUAAUCUUUGGUGUAAUCUAUGUGAAAGUCAACUAGUCAACAAAUCUCAAUUUUGAAGCAUCCGACAAAUAGUGGGUACCACAGAUUUUAAAAGCUAAAAAAAAAGUUGGAUGAGAAUAAUGCAAAGUUCCAUAUAUUCACUCAUUAAAUUAUUUGUAAUAUUUGCUUUAACAACAAUCUUUUUGUAUUGAAUGAAAUUUAUUAUGUCAUUCUUUAUGAAAGUCAUUCUCAAAAUAAUAUGAUCAACUUUAAUUUUACUCUUAAUAAUAGAGAUCCUUUUUUCUAUGUGAGACCCUUAAAAAUAAUAUUGAUGAUUCUAUAGAAAAGAAUGUUAUAGUAAAUUUACCUAGAUCUCUUCCUCAUUUCUUAAUAUUGGCAUGUCAAUGAGAAUCAAAACAUCAUAUAACCAUAAACUAUGUUGAUGAUUUCUUUUAUAGAAAUUAAAACUAGAAUAUAAUCAACUUAUAAUAGGGUAAAAGAGAUAAUUAGUAGUACCACAAUCCACAAAUUCAUAAUCCACCACGAGGUAACCUUGAGACAUCCCGUAACCACUGGUGUCAAACCUUUUAAAGACAUCUAUAUCCAAUUCAAGCCCUCCACUGCUACAGUUAUCAACAAUUCUUACUCUUUCGACGAGCUCAGUCAGAAAAAUUUUUGGCGAGGGAUUGUCCUAGAAAAAAUAUAUAUUGCGUAGACCAUCAACAUUGGCAGAGUUUAAAAUAUUACGUAAAGAGAGAAAUGUCGUUUUAAAUUGAAAAUAAAAUUGUUAUAUUAAUACAAAGCAAAUUGAAAAUAGUAAUUCAAAAUAAAAAAAGAAAUAUGCUUUUGCAACAUUCGAGCUAACAACACCAAGCAAUUUUCCAAGCAAUUUUUUUUUUAAACCUUCAUUACCGCCAGAACAGAAGCAACUGUGCAACUGUUAGCUUAUUGCUAAUUUACACCUUAGUGUUUUUAAAUAGGUAUAAAUUAGUGGUCCUUAUAUAUAUAUAUAUAUAUAUAUAUAUAUAUAUAUAUAUAUAUAUAAUUUAUACGAUAUUAUAAAGAAAACAACCCUUGCAACUCUUUUGGGUUGAGUUUCCCUAAAAAAAAAAAUUCUUUUGGGUUAACUUUUUUUCUUUCAAAAAAUACUCUCAAUUUUCAAUACAAAUAACACAUAUAACAAACAAAUAAAAAUAAAUUUAAAUAUUAAAAAAUAUAACAAACACAAUAUAAAUAAAUAUGUCUGAUGCAGCCUGCAAAUAAAUAGGGGGCAGAUAUUUGAACUCGUGAUGUAUGAGAUUCCAACCAGACUAUUUGACAUAGAGAAAAUAAGAACUAAACUGCAAACAUUAUACAUACAUAUGAUACAUCUAAGCACUUGCCACAAGCAGCUUUGCCAACAGGACCAACAGGUCCACAAAAAGCAGUCAAACCAUAUUUGCUUGGCCAUGAAAAUGAUUUGUUUCCAUCCUGAGCUGCACAUAAUACACCUGAUGUGUUCAAGUUCGAAGAAUUGAAAGAGCGAUAUUUAGCCUCUACAAACCUUGCACUUUGAGCUGAGGCCAAUGCUAGAACACAAAAUAUCAACACCAAAUCCAGAAGGAAAAUUUGCUUGAACAUAGUUUUGAAACUACAAAAGAGAGAAACUACCAAGUGGUGUGUUACUUGGAAGAAGUAGAAGUAGGUAGCAUAGAAGUUUUAGUUUAUAGGCAAAGGAAAAGCAUGAACCCGUGUUUUUAAAGGUGGUGAGAUUUGUGUGAGUCAAGGUACACUAAGCCAAAUGCAAAAAUAUUAUAAUUAAAGUUUGGUAACUAAAAACAAGAUUAAAUUUGGAUAAUAGUGUCUACAUUUUUUGUAAAAUAUGUCUAUAAAUAUCAAUUUGACAUGAUUUAAUUGAAAACAUUUGUAAAAAAAGUUUUAUACUAUUGAUGCAUAAAAAUUAAUCUCAUCAAAAGAAUAACACUAUAUCAGUCGCAUAUUUUGUAUAUAAUAAUAUAUAUGUUUUCUUUAAAAAAAAAUUGACAUGUCUAAUAAUUAGUUCUUUCAAAAAAAAAUGUCUAAUAAUUAGUUUUUAUCUUCCAAAAAAAAAUUAAUAUGUGGUAUCAAAUAUAUAAAGAAAAACAAUAAAUUUAUCUCAUAAUUAAAAAUUAUGUUUAUUUAUAUUAAGUGCAAAUUUUUCCUAAAAGAGGUCGUAACUAGAAACAGAUGCAAUAUUUUUUUUUCUUCAAAGUUCAAUCAACAUAAAUCAAAUAUUUCAAAUAGGGCGUUACAGAUCAAUUAUUUAAAAAGUUUGUAUCAAAUUAAUUACAUCCAAAAAAUUGUUGAUCCUUAGAGAUAUUUGUCUUAAUUAAAAAAUAAUAACGUCUAGAAUUUUCAUGAUUUAUAAACAUGAAAAAAUAAACUCCUUAAUUAUUUGAUCAAAGGUUUAUUUCAUGGCAUUCUUAAAUUUUUCUCGAAAAAAAGAGUUCUAUCUACUCUUUUGUGAAAAUGAUUAAAUGAGCUUUAACUAUAUUACUCAAUUAAUAUUUUUUUUAUUAAUUACCAUUUACAUUACAACAUAUAUGGUGUUGUGAUGGAUAAAUUAAAUAUGUUAAUCAAGAUUAUUACUUCCCUCAACAACAAAAAAAUAUUGCUAUUGAUUACCGUCCAAUAAACAACUGGUCAUAGCUUUCUUUGUCAACUACAUAAUGAAAAAUAAUUUUUUAAAGAAAUUAUUGAAAUAAAAUCAUAACAAAUUAUAAACGAAUAUACAAUUUACCGAAGAAAAGAGGACAUGAGAUUGCUGGUGAAACUUGGGCGUUGCCAUUUGAUAGUGUGUGUGCAUGAUGUUUAUUUUUGAUUUCGACUAAACUGACUUUAAAUAUGCAGAAAAUGAUAAACUCAAUUAUGAACUAAUAGUAAAAAGCAUUAAAAUGAUAAGUAAUUUAUUAACUAAUUUCAUCAAUAUUAUAUUCCUUUGUUCCAUUUUUCAGUCCGAUUACAUAUAAAUCAUACCAAAAAACUACACAAUCCUUCUUUGUAUAAGAGACAUAAAAUAGUGACUCAUCAUAGUAAAAAAUUUAUCUAUAUUCUUUUCUAAGAACGACUAAUUUCUUUGGAAUCUCAAAGUUUGUCAUAAUGUCAUCUUUUUUCCCCUGGGCUCUCGUGUGAAGAAUAUGUUGUCUUGAACUCAACCAUCAUAUAAUCGGUUUCAUCUAUAAAAUAGUAUCUCCAUAUUCUUAUUUUUUUGUGCUUGUUCGUGAUUUCUUGAUUCAAUACCUUGUAUGCAUAGCAACCGCAAAAGUAAAAAAAAAACUAUAUUAUUCAUUUAUAAACCAUCCAUAAAUUUAAAUAGAAUAAUAACGAAAACAAAAAAGCAUAAUAAUGUCAUAAAAGCAUAAGGAAAAAAUAAAAUAAGUCACAUGAAAAAAAAAAUAAAGGAGAGAUGAAUAAUUUUUUUAUAGGAGAGACGAAGAAACUACUUUUUAUGUGAACAUUUGAUUCAUCAAAAUCGCAGCAUGAAGGAAAUAUUACUCUUGGAACAUUGAUAUCAAUGAAAAAAAAUAUGAAGAAAAAAGAAUAAAAAAACUAAACAAUCUUUGUCUGAACAUUUUAUUCAUCAAAGCCACAACAUAAAGAAAAUAUAAAUUUUGGAGCAUUGAUAUCAAAGUUAAAAAAGAAGAAGAACAAAGAAUAAAAAAACAGAGGAUAACAGUUGUGAAUUGUGAUGUGAAAUUAUGCCAAUCCAUAUUUCUAAUUUAUAGACUUGUUUCACACCGUAAUUUGGUAUGAUAACCAUUAUUUUUUUAACAUUCAUAAAAAACAAUUGUUCUAUGCAGGGUAUUCAUUUACAAAAUUAUUUGGUCAUGAAUUAAUUUUAAUGUCCAUAAAUUGUUUUAAUAACCAUUAAAAGCGUAUCAUAAAAAAGUCUCCUAUUCUAAGUUUUUUUUUUUUUUUUGUAGGAAAUCUCCUAUGCUAAGUUAGAGGUGAUUUUGACAUAUAUAUAUAUGUAAUAUAAUCAUUUAAAAUAGAAGUCGUUUUUUUCUUCUGAUUAUGUGUUUUUUUUUUAUUAUUAUAAUAUAUGUAAUGAUCCAAGCAUAAACAAUUAAAAUUUUGGUCUGUGAUAAUAAUGAAUAUUUUCUCAAUAAAUGUUUCAUUAAAAAAAAAAUUAUUAAUAGUUUAUUUUCAUUAUUGUUUUCAGAUUAUAGUAAUAUUUAAGUUUGACCCAAUUUUUUAAUAAUAUUACAACAUAUGAACUUCUUUUUUUUUUUUAACGAAAAUAUAACAUAUGCUAUUUUUUAAGAACGAAAAUACAAAAUACAAUGAAGUGUAUCAUUUGGUUUUGUUACAUUUAAUUUCAAACACAAAAUAAUUUGGAUAUAAANAUUAAGAGAGUGGUCAUUAGGUAAUUACAUACGCAAUAUAUACCAAAAAGAGCACCAGCAGUGUUAUACAUCAAUGCUACACUAUAUCCAAAAGGAACUUGUUAGUGCUAUACUAUAUCGAUCCAAAAAAGAAUCACUAUAUCCAAAAAAAGAACACAACAGUACUAAGAGUUAACACUAACAAGUAACUAACGUUUAUAAUGUUUUUAUUCUUAUUUUUUACACAAAAAAAAAACAGAAAUCAAAAUAAUAUAAAAAAACACAAGUAUCUGUGCGUAUCGGGAUGUAUCGGAAAGUAUCGGAUAAUUAUUUUUUUAAAAAAUAAAAUUUAAUAUUUGGAUACUCUCCAGAUACGUAUCGGGAAGUAUCGGGCAGGUAUCGGUGCAGGAUACGCAGGGGAUACGAUACGUCAUCCAUUUUGAAGUAUGGAAGCUUCAUAGAUAUCACGUGAAUUUAAAAGUUAAUUUGGACAAGAACAAUGCAGAGUUCCAUAGAAAAUAUAAUCAAUUAUGUACUUUCUACGUGAAACUAACAAUAUUUUAAUUUUUUUUUUUUUUUCACAUUGAUUGCCCUUAAUGUCCGGAUUUAACACGUAAAGUUCAAAUAUUAGUUGUUUUUUUGGAUUGCUCCUAAAGUUCACCUGAUAGAAAAUAUAAUCAAAUACUAGUUGUUUUUGCAUUUUAAAUUUGUUACAUAGUCGAAGAGAUUCGAUUCCACCUCGAGAUAGUUAAAAAAAAAUAUUGUUUUUUAAGAGAAAGUUCUUAAAAAGAAAAAAAUACAGUUUAGGUAAUGGAUGUAACCUGCAAAGACAUUUUAGGGCGUGGAUAAAAUAAGAAGUAAAGUGCUAACAUUAUACAUAUACAUAUAUACAUACAUUUAAGCAAUUGCCACAAGAAACCGUGUCUUUAGAUAUGGUUAAAGAAGCUACCAAGAAGUGGUGUGUGAGUCAAGGUAGACUAAGUCAAAUGCUCAAUUAUUAAUUAAAGUGUGUAGGUAAAAAGAGAGUAACUAUGUGAUUUUGAGUUUGGUGAUUUUGAUGAUUUUGUUUCUAUCUCUUUUUUAAUUUUAAUAAUUUUCUCGCAUCAAAAUAAUUUGAUUUAAUCACACUUCUAUCAUUCUUUCUCAUCUAAAAUACACUAAAGUCAUCAAAUUGCACAAUCACUUAAGUAUACAAUGAAACCAUAACUUGAAGUGCAUAUUUUUUACCUACAUAUUCAAAAAAUAUCUAGUGUCAAAUAAGUAUACAAUCACAUAUGACAAGACGAAGAUACAAUAUCUAGUGUCAAAGUUCGAAGAGUACAAAUAUGUUUAUUUCACAAGAACACAAUAUGAGAGAGCUAUUAUUCAGGACAUAUUUUGGGCUCAUCUCGAAUCGAUUAAGUUGUUUAACAAUUUUCCAACAGUUUUGAUCCUUGACUCCACCAAUAAAAUAAACUUGUACAGGAUGCCAUUGUUUGUGAUAAUUGAGGUCACCUCAACCGAUAUGACAAAUUCGAUUGCUUUUGCAUUUCUGACGGCUAAAAAGGAGGAGAACAUACCUUGGGUUUUUCGGAUGUUGCGUCAACUUCUUAACUCAAAGAAAGAUAUGCCUCGAUUCCUAUUCAUUAUAUGCCAAAAUUCAUGACACCAUUUAUUAAGAAAAUUUUGGAUGUUAUAGGCGAUGAAAAAUGUGGGUUUCGGCUAUAGCUGAGUACAUGUGUUUGAUGAAAGAAAGUCAUGUUAUGGUUCGCAUAGCACUUAUUCAAGAGGUGAAAGAACAUAGGAGAGACUAUAUUCAAAUAUAUUUUAGUGAUGAUCGUUUUAACUAUAUCUUGAAUGGAUUGCAUCAUCCCGAAAAUAGUAGUUGUAUUGUACUUGAAGAUAAAUGGUUUACAGUGCCAGAUAUGGGUGGCAUCAUUGUAACCUAUUACAAUAUGGUUGUGGUGGAGUUGAGAAAUCUUGAAAUUGGAAUUUCAGAGACAUUUUUCUCAAUUAGAGGCAGGCCACCGCUUAACUCUUAAACCCACAUCAUGUUUCUUGGAUUAAUCUCAAAUCAUUUUGUUCUUUUUUUUUUUUUUUGUUUUGAAAGAAUGAUGUCCACUACCUCCAUCAUCUACGGAGCGGAAGCUACAAGAGUGAAGAGGCGUCGUCAUGGUAAUUUAAAUUUUGGAUCAACAAACCUGGUUCCGAGACCUCAUGAUCAUUGAAAAGAGACACAAACUGUCACGACUAAAAAAUGAGUCAAACUGAAACAAUCCAAUUUUGUGUGACACUACUGAAAAAGAAAAUGAAAAAUUUGAAGUUAUUGCGGAAGAUGAAGAUGAUUCAAUUCCGUUAGAUGGAAGAUGAAACUUUUUUGUUGGUGUUCAUCUUUUUUUUUUUUUUUUUUUUUUUCCGAUAUCACACCGACAUAUUUUUAUGGUAGAUAACGUAAUUCCAUUUUUUGUGGCCAAUAUAUUACUAACAUUUUAUAAAUUAUAUAAAUAUAGUAUGUGGUGGACAAAACACCGACAAUUUUCUUUGUUAUUAAUGUUCUGCAUUUAAUAUAUGUCUAUGUUUCGGCAAAUUUAUACUUUACCUUUCAUUUUGUUUUAUUCUUAUAUUUGAUAUUUCAAAAAAUUUUGUGAAGUUCAACAUGUCUAAAGAUGCUCAGAUUAAAGCUCAUGUUUGAUACUCUACUUUGAAGAAGACAAUUAAAGUUUUUUUUUAACUCCGACUGACACAAUGGAUGAGUUGAAGUCACAACUUAACAAAUAAUUUGUUUAUCUUGGUGAAAAUCAUACUACAUCUCGUGUAUUUGUACAUGUACCGUGUGUAGAUUUGAGGGCGGAUAAAGAUGAAGACACGUGGAAAAUGGCUCAUCGGGUUAUUCGUGACGAUAGCGACAUAGAUUUUUAUGUUUAGGUCUAUGGUUGAAAAUAUUAUGUUAUAUCUCUAUGUUCGUUCAAACUGCAGCUGCUCAGACUGUUGGUAGAGAUUUUUAUAUGUGUAUCGAUGUGUAAUGUGUUGUCUAAUGUUGCACUUUUGUUGAAUUUCAAUCAUCCGUAUAAUGUUCACGUAAUGUUGAAUUGAUUUAAUGUUAAUGGGCUAAAAUAUGGUUUUGGUCCCUGCAAAUAUGGCUCGUUUUGGUUUUAGUCCCUGCAAAAUUUUGUUGUUGUUUUUGGUCCCUGCAAAUAUGCCUCAUUUUGGUUUUGGUCCCUGGCUCCACUUUUGUGAUGAUUUGCACACGUGGCACAUGAUGACUGAACCCAUUUAUUAGAGAAAUAGUCCCUGCAAAAUAUUUUGAUUUUAAAAAAGGUCCCUGCAAAAUAUUUUGUUUAUGAAUUCGGAUUUUUGUUGGAUGUCUAAAUCCAUAACCGUAUCCACUUUUUUUACUCAACGAUUUUAGGAUCUCUUUUUUCAAAAUAACUUAUUCAAAACAGCUUAUUUAUGCAAAACAACUUAUUACGAUCUCUUUUUUCAAAUUAACUUAUUCAAAACAACUUAUUUAUGCAAAACAGCUUAUUAGGAUCUCUUUUUAAAAAACAACUUAUUUAUGCAAAACAACUUAUCAAGAUCUCUUUUUUUAAAACAACUUAUUUAUGCAAAACAAUUUCUUAGUAUCUCUUUUUUCAAAAUAACUUAUUCAAAAAAGCUUAUUUAUGCAAAAGAGCUUAUUAGGAUCUCUUUUUUCAAAACAACUUAUUUAUGCAAAAAAAGCUUAUUAGAAUCUCUUUUUAAAAAUAACUUAUUCAAAAUAAUUUAUUUAUGCAAAACAGCUUACUAGGAUCUCUUUUUUUAAAUUAACUUAUUCGAAACAACUUAUUUUUGCAAAACAACUUAUUAGGAUCUCUUUUUUCAAAAUAACUUAUUCAAAACAACUUAUUUAUGCAAAACAACUUAAUAGGAUCUCUUUUUAAAAAGAUAGCUUAUUCAAAACUACUUAUUUAUGAAAAAGAGCUUAUUAGGAUCUCUUUUUUCAAAACAACUUAUUCAAAAUAACUUAUUCAAAACAGCUUAUUUAUGCAAAAACAGCUUAUUAAGUUCUCUUUUUUCAAAAUAACUUAUUCGAAACAGCUAAUUUAUGCAAAACAUCUUAUAAGGAUCUCUUUUUCAAAACAUCUUAUUAGAGAUCCUAAUAAGUUGUUUGGCAUAAAUAAAUUGUUUUUUUUUAAAAAGAGAUCGUAAUAAGCUAUUUUGUAUUAGAUAAGCGAUUUUGAAUAAGUUGUUUUAAAUUUGGAUUAUUGUUUAUAAAACAUGGUUUUAAAAAUCAAUUUUGAAAGAGAAAUAGCUGGUUUUUAAUCCUGAUAUUAAAAUAAUCCGGAUAUUUUUUUUAAACCAAACCAUAUUCAUUUAUAAUCCGAUUUUGUAAAAAUAACCUGUUAUAUAUCCAUAACCGUUUACAUAACCGGUUUACAAUAAAAUAUGGUCCUGGUUAGGAAUCCAAAACCAUAUAAGUGGUUUAUAUAUGGAUAUGGUUUGGUCGGUCAAAAUAUCCAACCAUGCACACCCGUAACUAUAAGUAGAGAUUAAAGAAGUGACGGAGCCAUGAAUUUUAUAGAGCAUGGGCAAAAAAAUUAUCGCUAAAACGUUACUUCCUUCCUGCGAAUAAUUUCACAUUUUCCACGGAUAAUUUCACAUUUCCUGCAGAUAUAUCUUACCUGCGGAUUCUAAAAUCCUAAGGUAUUACCCGAUCACUCUACGCACAUAUAAGGGCUCAAAGCCGAAACAACUCAUAAACACCUCUUUUUUUCAUCAUUUUUUUUAAUCUUUUCUCUUUUUAUUUUGUUCUCGCUUGAACAGAGACCAACAUCACCCACACUAAAGUUCCACAUCCACCUACCCACAAGAAAAAACCUCCCUACAUCAAUCAAAGUUGCCAACGCAGCAAGAAGAAACCAUCAUAAACCAUCCUAUCUAAAAACAAAUUCAUAGCAAAAGAAUAUGCAAGGCAGCACCGAAACAGAAACAAAAACAUCACAAAAACUGCCAAUGCAAAGCACCAAAAGAAGAGGGGCAUCACAUAUAUAAUAGUAGACAAGUUAAAAUAUUAGAUCACCUAAAAAAAAAAUUCGAUGCUAUUAUUUUUGGAGAAUAUGAAUAUUUUAAUCAUAUACCUAAUAUUUUCAUUACACAUAUUAAGGAUAUGACUUAAUCACGACUUACUAGUUACUUCCACAUAAGAUAAAAUCAUUUUCUAGUAUAGCUUGUUCUCCAUUUGUAGCAUACGCAGCAACCAACUUCUAAAUGAUUUAAGAUGAUAACAUUAUGAAUUGUUCAUGACUUUGCAUAAGUAUAAAAACUAUUCGAGACAUACACUUGAACCUAAUUGCUUCACAAAAUGAUUAAAAGGGUGGAGAGUGUCUUCAUUUGAAGAGGUUACCAACUCUGAUUAAAAGAUAUAUAACAAUUAUACUUACCCUCAAAUAUUAAGACUUAAAAGACUCUGAUAUUGACCUAGUAGGUGAAGAAAGAUAUGGUUUAGGUGGUAUUUCAAGUAAAUUCAUGUUAACUUCUAACAUUUCAAUCACUUUACUCAUUGUAGGUCUAUCACUUGGAAAUGUUUGAAUGCACCAUAAACCCACAAUUGUCAUUCUCCUUGCAAUCUUGUCUUCUUCUGUAUCCAUAACUCCAUCAGGUCUCAAAUUACUACCAAGCUCAAGCCUAUUGUAUACCCAGUGAGGAAAGUAUAUCUCACUUGUGAGACUUGCAUCAGCAUUAAUGUUUUUCCUCCCUCCAACCAUUUCCAGCAACAUCAUUCCAUAACUAUAAACAUCGGACUUGUAUGAAACUCCUCCAAAAUGUCUAUUCCACAUUUCUGGAGCUACAUAUCCCAUAGUCCCUCUUUGAUCUGACAUCGAAAUAAUGCUCUCGUUCCUUGGACAAAGUUUUGCAAGUC
This 12311-nucleotide long non-coding RNA is filed under the name Medicago truncatula (barrel medic). Its description in RNAcentral is "long non-coding RNA (MTRU_LNC004494)". The record is from RNAcentral. Lineage: Eukaryota; Viridiplantae; Streptophyta; Magnoliopsida; Fabales; Fabaceae.